RNAcentral lists this ribosomal RNA (428 nucleotides) under uncultured bacterium. RNAcentral's name for it is "bacterial SSU rRNA". It matches the Rfam family "Bacterial small subunit ribosomal RNA", at positions 28 to 507 of the family's 1533-position model. The record is from RNAcentral.
GAUGAACGCUGGCGGUGUGCCUAACACAUGCAAGUCGAACGAAGCAGCAAUGCUUAGUGGCGAACGGGUGAGUAACGCGUAGGAAUUUGCCUCGAACCGGGAAAUACCCAGCCGAAAGGUUGGCUAAUGUCCCAUAGUCCCGCAAGGGUAAAGAUUUAUCGGUUUGAGAGAAGCCUGCGUCCUAUCAGCUAGUUGGUGAGGUAAAAGCUUACCAAGGCAAUGACGGGUAGCUGGUCUAAGAGGAUGGUCAGCCACAAUGGGACUGAGACACGGCCCAUACUCCUACGGGAGGCAGCAGUUGGGAAUCGUACACAAUGGACGCAAGUCUGAUGUCGCGACACCGCGUGAAGGAUGAAGGCUUCGGUGUAACUUCUUUAUAGGGACGAUGAUGACGGUACCCUACUGAAUAAGCGACGGCUAACUACGUG